This is a small nuclear RNA of Rhinopithecus roxellana (golden snub-nosed monkey), 104 nucleotides long. The record is from RefSeq and is a predicted model, not a curated record. Lineage: Eukaryota; Metazoa; Chordata; Mammalia; Primates; Cercopithecidae.
GUGCUCGCUUCGGCAGCACAUAUCCUAAAAUUAGAAUGAUACAGAGAUUAGCGUGACCCCUGCGCAAGGAUGACACGCAGAUUUGUGAAGCGUUCCUUAUUUUU